RNAcentral lists this ribosomal RNA (518 nucleotides) under uncultured bacterium. RNAcentral's name for it is "bacterial SSU rRNA". It matches the Rfam family "Bacterial small subunit ribosomal RNA", at positions 109 to 660 of the family's 1533-position model. The record is from RNAcentral.
AGUAACACGUGACUAAUCUACCCUCGAGUGGGGAAUAACUGAGAGAAAUCUUAGCUAAUACCGCAUAACACUUACGAGUCAAAGCAGCAAUGCGCUUGGGGAGGAGGUCGCGGCCGAUUAGCUAGUUGGCGGGGUAAUGGCCCACCAAGGCGAUGAUCGGUAUCCGGCCUGAGAGGGCGCACGGACACACUGGAACUGAAACACGGUCCAGACUCCUACGGGAGGCAGCAGUGGGGAAUUUUGCGCAAUGGGGGAAACCCUGACGCAGCAACGCCGCGUGGAGGAUGAAGUAUCUUGGUACGUAAACUCCUUUCGAUGGGGAAGAUUAUGACGGUACCCAUAGAAGAAGCCCCGGUAACUUCGUGCCAGCAGCCGCGGUAAUACGAGGGGGGCAAGCGUUGUUCGGAUUUAUUGGGCGUAACAGGGUGCGUAGGCGGUUUGGCAAGUCUUAUGUGAAAUCUUCGGGGCUCAACCCGAAGCCUGUUAAGAAACUGCGGGCUUGAGUAUGGGAGAAGGUG